AAUUAAAAAAUCAAAAUUUUCUCAUGUUUCAAUAUGAAAACGCAAAUGAUAUUGAAAAUGUUUGUUUACUUCGUUAAUAACGAUCAUUUCGAGCUGUGAUAAAAAGUUUUGAUGUUCUCAUUUUGUUUUAUUCCGAGUCCAUCUCAUUUAAAUCAUGUUUCACUCUUGUACUGGGUCUGUUGUAAUCCUAAAUGAAGAUCAAAGUGUUUUCCUUUUUAUGUGGUUUGUUGUUUAUUAGCAACUUCGAGACGAAAACUUCGCUUUUCGUAACUAACUUGUGAAAAUAAUUGAUUUUGUUCUAUAUUUUCUCAGCAAUUAAAGCGCCGAGUUCGUUUUUUCAAUUUUCUUCUUUGAAAAUGGCUUCUUGUCGGUGGAUAGCUGUUUCUGUCGAGCUUCAACUUUAAUCUUUACUUGACAUUCAUGUUCGUAUGUCAUUCAUAGACUUAUUGUGGGCAAUCAGAACUGUAAGAGCUUUGGAAUUAAAGAACGAAAUAGGAAAUUUAUAAACGAUGUUGGAUUAUUUUAACAAAUGGCUUCAUUUCUUUGGACAUCGUAAACUCUAAUUUAAUAAAUUUGUCAAUUUAGCCAAUCUGAGCCUACAUCUUUGGUUAUUACACCAAAUAUAAACUGGGAACAUGGAAGUUUCAACCACCAAGCUUGAAGUUACAGUUUGAUAAAACGUUCUUUGCAUAUCAA
Molecule: long non-coding RNA, 696 nt
Organism: Tetranychus urticae (two-spotted spider mite)
Lineage: Eukaryota; Metazoa; Arthropoda; Arachnida; Trombidiformes; Tetranychidae
Source: RefSeq, a predicted model, not a curated record